GGGGACGACAGGCUUCGACGUGGUCGGAUCGUGGGGGUGGUUGCGAGCCGAGGUUCCCGGAGGCCUCGUAAAUCACCGGGAAAACCAUAUGUGCGGACUCUCACGAGUACGCCCUCGCCGCCUAGCACACCGCUAGCGCUGUGAGGUUCGGAGCCCGGCCUGCCGGCCGUCGGGAUUUCCGGAUCAAACGCCGGCUUACCUGGGGAGGAUCGUCCUCGCCAAACUGGGGAAAUCUUUAGAGGACUGGCUUCACGCAACCCCGCCGGCGAGGCGAGCGCGAAGUGAGAUUAGAGCGCCGGAUACGCUCGUAGACAUCACCUCUUACGCGACCGCGGACGUGGGUUCGAUUCCCACCGUCUCCAUCU
This 365-nucleotide transfer-messenger RNA is filed under the name Solirubrobacteraceae. RNAcentral describes it as "F1-60-MAGs163 sp009699615 Standard tmRNA". It matches the Rfam family "transfer-messenger RNA". From Rfam's summary of the family: Bacterial tmRNA, also known as 10Sa RNA or SsrA, is named for its dual tRNA and mRNA-like properties. Its role is to liberate the mRNA from a stalled ribosome. RNAcentral also lists the same sequence under 1 other name. The record is from RNAcentral. Lineage: Bacteria; Bacillati; Actinomycetota; Thermoleophilia; Solirubrobacterales.